AUGCAUGGGAGCGGAAGCAGCUCGGUAAACUCUUGGCUUCACCUAACUCUUUUUGUCUUAGUUUAUCCCUUGCAAGCAAGCAAUUUACUACUAUAUUACAAAUCCUUCUAUGCAGAGGAGAAUCUUAUAGUAUACAUUUCAAGACGACCAAUGCUUGAAACAGUGACUGAAACAGUUGGUCUAGAAGUACAAGGCUACACAUGUUGGUAUGCUCAUGAAGGUAUGAUACAAGCGUCCGUACUAAUUGCUCUGCCACGUCAGAAAGAUAGUUUCAGAGAAUCCUCCAUUACAUAUGAAGGAGAAACAACUAAUUAA
RNAcentral lists this ribosomal RNA (315 nucleotides) under Triticum aestivum (bread wheat). Its description in RNAcentral is "partial small subunit ribosomal RNA". The record is from RNAcentral. Lineage: Eukaryota; Viridiplantae; Streptophyta; Magnoliopsida; Poales; Poaceae.